RNAcentral lists this ribosomal RNA (253 nucleotides) under uncultured bacterium. Its description in RNAcentral is "partial 16S ribosomal RNA". It matches the Rfam family "Bacterial small subunit ribosomal RNA", at positions 524 to 776 of the family's 1533-position model. The record is from RNAcentral.
UACGAGGGGGGCGAGCGUUGUUCGGAAUUAUUGGGCGUAAAGGGUGCGUAGGCGGUUUGGUAAGUCUUGUGUGAAAUCUACAGGCUCAACUUGUAGUCUGCACGAGAAACUGCCGGGCUUGAGUGUGGGAGAGGUGAGUGGAAUUCCUGGUGUAGCGGUGAAAUGCGUAGAGAUGUGGAGGAAUACCGAUGGCGAAGGCAGCCCCCUGGGCCAACACUGACGCUCAUGCACGAAAGCGUGGGGAGCAAACAGG